RNAcentral lists this transfer RNA (69 nucleotides) under Xenapatidea procincta. RNAcentral's name for it is "tRNA-Ile". Lineage: Eukaryota; Metazoa; Arthropoda; Insecta; Hymenoptera; Tenthredinidae. The record is from RNAcentral.
AAUGAAAUGCCUGAAAAAGGAUUAUUUUGAUAGAAUAAAUUAUGUAAAAAUUUAACUUUACUUUCAUUA